UACAGGGGGCUCGAGCGUUAGUCGGAAUCACUGGGCUUAAAGGGUGCGUAGGCGGCUCGCCAAGUGCUUUGUGAAAUCCCACAGCUCAACUGUGGAACAGCAGGGCAAACUGGCGAGCUUGAGGCAGGUAGGGGCCGGAAGAACAGUUGGUGGAGCGGUGAAAUGCGUAGAUAUCAACUGGAAUGCCGAUGGGGAAGCCGUCCGGCUGGGCCUGUCCUGACGCUGAGGCACGAAAGCGUGGGGAGCAAACAGG
This 253-nucleotide ribosomal RNA is filed under the name uncultured bacterium. RNAcentral's name for it is "partial 16S ribosomal RNA". It matches the Rfam family "Bacterial small subunit ribosomal RNA", at positions 524 to 776 of the family's 1533-position model. The record is from RNAcentral.